This 206-nucleotide ribosomal RNA is filed under the name uncultured bacterium. RNAcentral describes it as "partial 16S ribosomal RNA". It matches the Rfam family "Bacterial small subunit ribosomal RNA", at positions 568 to 774 of the family's 1533-position model. The record is from RNAcentral.
AGCGUAGACGGUGUGGCAAGUCUGAUGUGAAAGGCGUGGGCUCAACCUGUGGACUGCAUUGGAAACUGUCAUACUUGAGUGCCGGAGGGGUAAGCGGAAUUCCUAGUGUAGCGGUGAAAUGCGUAGAUAUUAGGAGGAACACCAGUGGCGAAGGCGGCUUACUGGACGGUAACUGACGUUGAGCUCGAAAGCGUGGGGAGCAAACA